AUUGAACGCUGGCGGCAGGCCUAACACAUGCAAGUCGAGCGGAGCGGCGGACGGGUGAGUAAUGCCUAGGAAUCUGCCUGGUAGUGGGGGAUAACGUCCGGAAACGGGCGCUAAUACCGCAUACUAUCAGAUGAGCCUCGGUCGGAGUAGCUAGGUGGUGGGGUAAAGGCCUACCAAGGCGACGAUCCGUAACUGGUAUGAGAGGAUGAUCAGUCACACUGGAACUGAGACACUGUCCAGACUCCUACGGGAGGCAGCAGUGGGGAAUAUUGGACAAUGGGCGAAAUCCUGAUCCAUCCAUGCCGCGUGUGUGAAGAAGGUCUUCGGAUUGUAAAGUACUUUCAGCGAGGAGGCGUUACUCGCAGAAGAAGCACCGGCUAACUCCGUGCCAGCAGCCGCGGUAAUUC
This 407-nucleotide ribosomal RNA is filed under the name uncultured bacterium. RNAcentral's name for it is "partial 16S ribosomal RNA". It matches the Rfam family "Bacterial small subunit ribosomal RNA", at positions 30 to 526 of the family's 1533-position model. The record is from RNAcentral.